GAUGAACGCUGGCGGCGUGCCUAAUACAUGCAAGUCGAGCGAACAGACGAGGAGCUUGCUCCUCUGACGUUAGCGGCGGACGGGUGAGUAACACGUGGAUAACCUACCUAUAAGACUGGGAUAACUUCGGGAAACCGGAGCUAAUACCGGAUAACAUGUUGAACCGCAUGGUUCAACAGUGAAAGACGGUUUUGCUGUCACUUAUAGAUGGAUCCGCGUCGCAUUAGCUAGUUGGUAAGGUAACGGCUUACCAAGGCAACGAGGCGUAGCCGACCUGAGAGGGUGAUCGGCCACACUGGAACUGAGACACGGUCCAGACUCCUACGGGAGGCAGCAGUAGGGAAUCUUCCGCAAUGGGCGAAAGCCUGACGGAGCAACGCCGCGUGAGUGAAGAAGGUCUUCGGAUCGUAAAACUCUGUUAUUAGGGAAGAACAAAUGUGUAAGUAACUAUGCACGUCUUGACGGUACCUAAUCAGAAAGCCACGGCUAACUACGUG
RNAcentral lists this ribosomal RNA (497 nucleotides) under uncultured bacterium. Its description in RNAcentral is "partial 16S ribosomal RNA". It matches the Rfam family "Bacterial small subunit ribosomal RNA", at positions 28 to 507 of the family's 1533-position model. The record is from RNAcentral.